GAUGACUCUCGGCAACGGAUAUCUCGGCUCUCGCAUCGAUGAAGAACGUAGCGAAAUGCGAUACUUGGUGUGAAUUGCAGAAUCCCGUGAACCAUCGAGUCUUUGAACGCAAGUUGCGCCCUAAGCCGUCAGGCGAGGGCACGUCUGCCUGGGUGUCACGC
Molecule: ribosomal RNA, 161 nt
Filed under: Bretschneidera sinensis
Lineage: Eukaryota; Viridiplantae; Streptophyta; Magnoliopsida; Brassicales; Akaniaceae
Description: 5.8S ribosomal RNA
Rfam family: 5.8S ribosomal RNA
About the family: 5.8S ribosomal RNA (5.8S rRNA) is a component of the large subunit of the eukaryotic ribosome.
Source: RNAcentral